CAGUGAUGCACACUCACGCACGCGAGGUUAUCCCUGGGCUACAACGCCACAUGGAAGUAAACAAGGGCGCGCUCACUGCAUUUAGAAGUCAGUAUUUGUAACCUGCCUAAUGUCUGCAUGUGUGUCGGUUGGUGUAACCAGCAGCAGAUGCACUCCCACACCCGUUGGCAAGAAAGGAAGUGCAUAAAGCAGUGGUGGGGUUGUUCAUGGCUGGUCGUCUGCUGGCUGGGAACUGACAAAAGUCCCACACGCGCGGACCCACGCGCACAAUAGCGCGCACACACACACACACACAUACAAACAAACACCUGUACAUAUUUCAAAAGU
Phycodurus eques (leafy seadragon) is the source of this 327-nucleotide long non-coding RNA. RefSeq lists it as uncharacterized. The transcript has 3 exons. The record is from RefSeq and is a predicted model, not a curated record. NCBI's taxonomy places the organism in Eukaryota, Metazoa, Chordata, Actinopteri, Syngnathiformes, Syngnathidae.